Molecule: long non-coding RNA, 1827 nt
Organism: Larimichthys crocea (large yellow croaker)
Lineage: Eukaryota; Metazoa; Chordata; Actinopteri; Sciaenidae
Exons: 3
Source: RefSeq, a predicted model, not a curated record
ACGGCAACUUCCAAACUCUCCAUCACUGUCGGCUACUGCUGUUUCAACCUGUGCUGACAAAUGAAGCUCGUUAUCUUCAUUUUCCACAGCUGUGGGGCACCGAGCAGCGCCGGAGAGAAGUCAUGAAGUCAAACAGAGAGCAGAGACUCUGAACGGAGACGUGGGGAUGAAAAAUCCAAAACUCCUCUGCUGGACCACCGGCCGUCUUGGACCUCCUCCCUGGCUUUCUGCGCCUCAUUCCAGAGGUCUUCAUGUUGGACAGGAGGUCAUGUGACUCAGGUUACCUGACAACACCUGAAGCUUCUUCCUCCUUUCAAGUGUUAUCAUUUCUGACAUGAGGUAGAAAACAAAAUCCCUGUUUUUCUCAUGAAUUAUUUGCUUUUCUUUAGAUCUGCGUUGGAUUAAAGCGCUUUGUUUUUCACAGUACAGAACAGAAGCCGAUCUUGAUCUUUGCAUUAGGCUAAAUAAAAUCUCGCCUACAAUAAAAAAUGAUUGAAAUGAAGUUGGACAUGGGGACUUAUGGAGACUGACUCACUUCUGGAGCCAGCCUCAAGUCGACGUUAGAGGAACUGCAGGUUUUAGGCACUUCCACAUUGGCAGAGGUAUCCGUUUGUUCUACACUCAACUUUUUGACCAUUAUGAGUGAAGUUAAACUGUCUUCACCACAUGUUGGUUCAACAAGGUGGACGUCCUCUAAAUGUCCCACGCUGGACCUUUAACAACGUCAGUAACAGUUAGUGAUGUGGAGACAUUUGCAUCGUUUGUUCCAAAAACGCUCGACCGAAAUGAUUCAAACGUGUUUUCACUGACGAUAAACGGACGUGAUCGGGAGUGAGCUUGUAUGAAUUUAUAGCAUGUGAAAGAAAAAAUACAUUUCCACUGUUACAGACCAAACGAUCGCUAAUAGACUGAGCAGAGCCAAACUACCAUCGAACUCCAGACUCCUCCGCUGAUGGUAAUUUGACUCGUUUAGCGAAUGAACACCUGAUAUCUGAUGGGGCGAAAGGUUCACGUGGAUCAUAAAUAAUCCAGUUUAAGUUCCUCCCUUCAGACAGAAGCACAGAAACGUUAGUUUAGUGUCAUGGCGUAUUAUCUCGGCAGGAAAAAAUACCCCAGCAGAGAUUAAUUGUGGGCUUUUAGCAUGGCCCCAGAGGGAGCGCGAUGGCGUCAGAAUCUAAACGUAAUGGAGGUAAUUAUCCUGAUGAAGACUUCAUUCCUCUCCACAUAUUCAUGGAUCUCUGCCCAGAUGAAAUUGAAUAUCUCUGCCUUGAUCGCUUUCUCCUAAAGUUGCACAUUUAUUUAGUCACAUUUUUCUUAAAGGUUCUGAGCAAAAGGUUCAAAGUUCUGAAGAUACUUUGUAGCGUUAUCGCUCAUUUUGAAGUGAAAUGGGGACAUUAGCUCCUCAUAAAUCAAACCGCUCUUUUUUCUCAUGGGUUAUUUGCUUUUCUUUAAGUUUGCGAUGGGUCAGAACUUUGUUUUCGCAGUAAGAACAGGAAAAGACUCCGUUUGCCAGAAAGCUGUUGAUUUAUCUCGGAGGAGGAGGAGGAACCGUUUCUGAGCACAGCUCCCCCCCCCCCCCCCGAAAUCUGAAAUGAUUAUCUCUGGUGACCAAAUCUAUCACAGGUGUGUCAGAAGUUUGGCGCCGUCAGGUCUGACAUAUUCGUGUUAAACAUAAAGCAGACGAUUACUGAAGAGCAACUAGACCGAUGUCAGACGUCACAAGGCGACGAAUGUGAUACACUAAAGACAUAAAAACACUGAAACGAGGCGGCAGACAUCUGAUUAACUGUGGAAUGCGACGCGACUUCAUGAACAUGCAAAACUAAA